Molecule: long non-coding RNA, 1058 nt
Filed under: Ursus americanus (American black bear)
Lineage: Eukaryota; Metazoa; Chordata; Mammalia; Carnivora; Ursidae
Description: lncRNA (ENSUAMG00000004425.1)
Source: RNAcentral
UCGGGCGCGCCGCGCGGACACUCACCCGCCCGCGGCCGCCCGGGAGCGGCAGCGCCACCCUCCCGCUUCAUCGUGCCCCCGCGGCCGCCGGCCGGGAAAGGGACAGGGCGCGCGAGCCGGAAGCGCUCAUGCGCUGCGCCCGCCGGGACUUGUAGUUCUCGGACUCUCGAUGCCGGACUGGCUGCCUCACGCGCGGCUCCUCAGAAACUACAACUUCCGGCGGCUCUGACGUUGCAGGGCGGGAUUGGCAGCUUUAGAAUCACUCUAUGUUGCAGGUCGGAGUCUGAUUGGUUGAUUCCGGCUGUCGCUCACGGUGAUGUUGGAUGGCCCGUUGCAAAAGGAAGCAGCUUCGCGUGUCGGGUCCGAGAGACCGGGAGCGUAUCAGCGGUGAGGGAGGCGGGUACUUCCGCCAGGAUGGCCCAAUCGCAGUGGUGGGACAGUUUCUAUAAAAGCUCGAGCCUCGGGCUUUCGCGUUCUUUCGGGAUCGAGUGCGGGUAUAGCUUGUUUUCUUUUUUUGCCGCCAUGCUCCAAGGCCAUGGGAGCCCUGGGCCCCGAGGGCGUUUGAGGGGGUCCCCCAAGCCUGCAGGCGGGCCUGGCCCACUUUCGCCUCGGUGUUGUUCACGUUUUUUGCUCCGCCCCCUUACCCCGUUCGGUCGGGGAAUUCCGAAGCUCCAGGUCUACGUCUUCCUGCAGGGCGGUGGGUGACCCGGCUGGAGACUGUGAACGUGAGUGGACGUCAGCCUGGAGGCCUGCUGACGACCCUUUGGGAGCACUGGCUCAUCCCCGUGCAGUCCUGGGACACGGCGGAGGAAGAUGGAUGUUGAUGCAGUGACAUCCCCACUGUUGGAACUGCCUUCUCCGUAUUUCCUUUCAAGGCCAAAAAUACCGGGGUUUUCUUGGCCUUUGCCUUGGGUAGGUCAGAAACUCUUUUAAUUCUUCAUGAACAGGCCACGUAGCACUGUUUGCCCUUGGGUCUUGUGGGGGGAGGUGGACACAAACCACCUAGGCUCCCCCGUGCUCCCUAGACACCAUUGGGGUUCCACGUAACCUAGUUAAAG